This 497-nucleotide ribosomal RNA is filed under the name uncultured bacterium. RNAcentral's name for it is "partial 16S ribosomal RNA". It matches the Rfam family "Bacterial small subunit ribosomal RNA", at positions 28 to 507 of the family's 1533-position model. The record is from RNAcentral.
GAUGAACGCUGGCGGCGUGCCUAAUACAUGCAAGUCGAGCGAACGGACGAGAAGCUUGCUUUUCUGAUGUUAGCGGCGGACGGGUGAGUAACACGUGGAUAACCUACCUAUAAGACUGGGAUAACUUCGGGAAACCGGAGCUAAUACCGGAUAUUAUUUUGAACCGCAUGGUUCAUAAGUGAAAGACGGUCUUGCUGUCACUUAUAGAUGGAUCCGCGCUGCAUUAGCUAGUUGGUAAGGUAACGGCUUACCAAGGCAACGAUGCAUAGCCGACCUGAGAGGGUGAUCGGCCACACUGGAACUGAGACACGGUCCAGACUCCUACGGGAGGCAGCAGUAGGGAAUCUUCCGCAAUGGGCGAAAGCCUGACGGAGCAACGCCGCGUGAGUGAUGAAGGUCUUCGGAUCGUAAAACUCUGUUAUUAGAGAAGAACAUAUGUGUAAGUAACUGUGCACAUCUUGACGGUACCUAAUCAGAAAGCCACGGCUAACUACGUG